AUUGAACGCUGGCGGCAGGCUUAACACAUGCAAGUCGAGCGGGGUGAUGGUGCUUGCACUAUCACUUAGCGGCGGACGGGUGAGUAAUGCUUAGGAAUCUGCCUAUUAGUGGGGGACAACAUCUCGAAAGGGAUGCUAAUACCGCAUACGUCCUACGGGAGAAAGCAGGGGAUCACUUGUGACCUUGCGCUAAUAGAUGAGCCUAAGUCGGAUUAGCUAGUUGGUGGGGUAAAGGCCUACCAAGGCGACGAUCUGUAGCGGGUCUGAGAGGAUGAUCCGGCACACUGGGACUGGGACACGGCCCAGGCUCCUACGGGGGGCAGCAGUGGGGAAUAUUGGACAAUGGGGGGAACCCUGAUCUAGCCAUGCCGGGUGUGUGAAGAAGGCCUUAUGGUUGUAAAGCACUUUAAGCGAGGAGGAGGCUCUUUUGGUUAAUACCCAAGAUGAGUGGACGUUACUCGCAGAAUAAGCACCGGCUAACUCUGUGCCAGCCGCCGCCGUAA
RNAcentral lists this ribosomal RNA (503 nucleotides) under uncultured bacterium. Its description in RNAcentral is "partial 16S ribosomal RNA". It matches the Rfam family "Bacterial small subunit ribosomal RNA", at positions 30 to 523 of the family's 1533-position model. The record is from RNAcentral.